CACGAAGUUAGCCGGUGCUUAUUCUGUCGGUAACGUCAAAACAGCAAGGUAUUAACUUACUGCCCUUCCUCCCAACUUAAAGUGCUUUACAAUCCGAAGACCUUCUUCACACACGCGGCAUGGCUGGAUCAGGCUUUCGCCCAUUGUCCAAUAUUCCCCACUGCUGCCUCCCGUAGGAGUCUGGACCGUGUCUCAGUUCCAGUGUGACUGAUCAUCCUCUCAGACCAGUUACGGAUCGCAGCCUUGGUGAGCCAUUACCUCACCAACUAGCUAAUCCGACCUAGGCUCAUCUGAUAGCGCAAGGCCCGAAGGUCCCCUGCUUUCUCCCGUAGGACGCAUGCGGUAUUAGCGUCCCUUUCGAGACGUUGUCCCCCACUACCAGGCAGAUUCCUAGGCAUUACUCACCCGUCCGCCGCUGAAUCAGGAAGCAAGCUCCCUUCACUCCGCUCGACUUGCAUGUGUUAGGCCUGCCGCCAGCCGUUCAAU
RNAcentral lists this ribosomal RNA (486 nucleotides) under uncultured Pseudomonas sp. RNAcentral describes it as "partial 16S ribosomal RNA". The record is from RNAcentral. Lineage: Bacteria; Pseudomonadati; Pseudomonadota; Gammaproteobacteria; Pseudomonadales; Pseudomonadaceae.